RNAcentral lists this ribosomal RNA (497 nucleotides) under uncultured bacterium. Its description in RNAcentral is "partial 16S ribosomal RNA". It matches the Rfam family "Bacterial small subunit ribosomal RNA", at positions 28 to 507 of the family's 1533-position model. The record is from RNAcentral.
GGUGAACGCUGGCGGUGUGCCUAAUACAUGCAAGUCGAGCGAACAGACGGUAAGCUUUCUCCCCUGCCGUUAGCGGCUGACGGGCGAGUAACACGUACAUAACCUACUUAUUUUACUGGGAUAACUACGGGAAACCGGUGCUACUACUGCCUAAUAUAUCCAACCGCUUGGUUCAGUAGUUAAAGACGCCUUUGCUGUUUCAUAUAGAUGGAUCCGCGCCGCAUUAGCUAGUUGGUAAGGUAACGGCUUACCAAGGCAACGAUGCGUAGCUGACCUGAGAGGAUGAUCAGCCACACUGGAACUGAGACACGGUCCAGACUCCUACGGGAGGCAGCAGUAGGGAAUAUUGGGCAAUGGGCGAAAGCCUGACGGAGCAACACCGCGUGAGUGAUGAAGGUCUUCGGGUCGUAAAGCCCUGUUGUUGGGAAAGAACAGAUGUGGGUGUAUCUAUGCCCGUCUUGACGGUACCCAAAGAGAAAGCCACGGCUAACUUCGUG